Molecule: non-coding RNA, 255 nt
Organism: Cinara cedri
Lineage: Eukaryota; Metazoa; Arthropoda; Insecta; Hemiptera; Aphididae
Source: the annotation of a GenBank genome assembly
AUGGUUAACAAAUAACCAAUAAAACUAAAAUAUAUAGCCCUACAGCAGUUAUUUAAUAUUUGGUUUAUGUCCAUGCGCAAUAUUCGUAUUUUAUUAUUGCGUAAUAAAAUAAAGUCGUUAUUUGCUCCGCCGACAUAAUCCCUAAAUUAAAUAAUAUAAAACGAAAAAUUAUCUACUUUACUUAGAUAUUGUCUGUGUUCCGUAUUACAUUAAAAGAUAAAUAUCUCAUGUACAGUGCCUACCCACGAGUGCAUU